Long non-coding RNA from Daphnia magna, 96 nucleotides. It matches the Rfam family "Sphinx_ conserved region 1". The record is from Rfam. NCBI's taxonomy places the organism in Eukaryota, Metazoa, Arthropoda, Branchiopoda, Diplostraca, Daphniidae.
UUACAAUGGCGUGGGGCGAAUAUCCAGCAGGCUACAACCCAAAAGUCCAUGGACCUUAUGAUCCAGCCCGCUUCUAUGGAAAAGGUUAACAACGCG